Molecule: small nucleolar RNA, 71 nt
Filed under: Sorex araneus (European shrew)
Lineage: Eukaryota; Metazoa; Chordata; Mammalia; Eulipotyphla; Soricidae
Description: Small nucleolar RNA SNORD112 (ENSSARG00000019901.1)
Source: RNAcentral
UGGACCAAUGAUGAGAGCAUGUCAUGAAGCAGCGCUUAUAAUUAAUCCAGUCUGUGCACCUGAGGUCCAAU